UCCUACGAGACUGACAAGAUUGA
Molecule: non-coding RNA, 23 nt
Filed under: Mus musculus (house mouse)
Lineage: Eukaryota; Metazoa; Chordata; Mammalia; Rodentia; Muridae
Source: RNAcentral